UUGCUCUCCUCACCUGAUCCUGCCUCGACACUCAGCAUUGUGGACGGCAGCGCAGAGUCUUCCUCGCGCCCGCCGUGAAGGAAUGAUUGACAGGUAGCGCGGCGGUUUAUCACCGCCUCAUGUGGACAGAGAACAGACGCUCAGUAAAACGGGACUCACAUCAAUGCCGUUUUCCGCUUAUCUCUCCACUGCCACAGUGACGGAAUUCUGUCACAAAACCAGACCACCUACAGUUUUCCAUUUCUACAGCAUUCAAGCCGAGGCAUUCAACUUGAUCAAAGACAGAGAACAAUGCUGAAAAGAAUCAUGACAUAACUGCUAGCUGGACUGAGUAACCGUUUGCAUGUGGACUGAACUGGAAAAUGAGAAGAUAUGUUAUUGUAAGUCUGGUUUUAAUUUAUCUACAAGAGGUAAUUCAAAGUAGUCUGGUUUAGCCAAGCCACACCGUUGUGGUUCUCGAUUUCUUAUGAAACAUCUUGAGUUUGAACCCAAUAUUAACCUCAACCGAUUUGCCAGAAUGAACAGAGAGACCUUCGGGAUAAACAACAAACAUGAGGAUGGGGUGUGUUGUAUCUAAAAACAAUCAUUAUCUCUAAAGCAGCCAGUAUAACCUAAAUUUAACACAGCACUAUUGUGCACUACUACAGUAAGUCUUGAGGGCCAAAUAAAGACCAAUAGAUCGGUGUCUGUGCUUAUGUACAUUUUAUCACCAAGUAACACGUCUAGAAACAUUCAUUCAUUUUCUUUUCAGCUUAGUCCCUUUAUUAAUCUGGGGUCACCACAGUGGA
Danio rerio (zebrafish) is the source of this 788-nucleotide non-coding RNA. NCBI's taxonomy places the organism in Eukaryota, Metazoa, Chordata, Actinopteri, Cypriniformes, Danionidae. The record is from RefSeq and is a predicted model, not a curated record.